AAAAGAGACCGAUAGAAUAAGUACUGGGCUUACAAAAGAAUAAGUCCCGGGGUCGAUUUGCUCGACUAAAGGCGGUGCUCCAGCAUGGCCGCAGUCAAAUGACUGAAACAUGUAAAAGAGUAAAAGAGAUAUAUAUAUAUAUAUACACACACAUACAAUUCACACACAUGUGUGUGUGUGUGUGUGUGUUUCCUGUAUGCCUGUUCUUAUUGCUAGGGUUAGCUUAUGUCCUAAUCAACCGAGACAACUGUUCUGCAUAUUUUACCCCACACCCACCCCACUUUUAAGAAAUAUGUGUAGUAAAUGUUAUCGGCUCAUUACUUUCAAACGAACACAUUUUAAUUCAUCAAAUGUAUUUUUUGCUAUUUUUUUUUUCACAGUUUUACAUUUUUAUUUUGCAUUAACACACACACACACACACACACACACACACACAUUUUAUGUAAGAAAAGAGAUGACAAAGGAAUAUUUCUGCUCUGUACUUGAAUAAUGCUUCGUUCAGAAGCAUACGUGUAUUGAGUGCUAAACCAGAUUACUAGUGUCGUAAUGCCCAAGAAAAAUAGAUAGAUAUAUACACACAUACACGUGUGUGUAUUUAUGUAUGUGUGUGUGUACAUAUAAAUAUGUAUGUAUGCAUAUAAAUAUAUGUAUG
RNAcentral lists this long non-coding RNA (652 nucleotides) under Octopus vulgaris (common octopus). Lineage: Eukaryota; Metazoa; Mollusca; Cephalopoda; Octopoda; Octopodidae. The record is from RNAcentral.